CACAUUUCUUUCCUGUCCUCGCUUCACUUCAAAUUUCUCUGUUCUGUUCCUUAUUCGUACAUUGUCCUCCAUGACAGGGAUGUAGAGCAGUCAUGCAGUAGCAGGUGGUUUUACCAUUGUAUCUCAUUAGGUUUGGAUUCUGUUCUUGACAGGUAGCAGUACUGUGGAACAGUCAGGCUGACAUGUUCCAGUCCUAUAGACUGGAGAAUAUAGCCUAUACGUUGUCCAGUUGCAUUAAUUUUACUUGUCUAUUUCCAUUCAGGGUCACAUGCUGUACUCUACAGCCAAAUUUGGCUGUCAGCUGCCUAGUACUGAUCUUAAUUUUUCUAGAAGUUUCAAAAUGAGGCUCCUUCCUGCAGCUUCACUUUCAAAACAACUCUCGGAAAACCAGCAGAAUUCCACAUGCAGAGCACACCUGCAACCACUGGGAAAACACACUCAGGAAUUUCAAUCUUGAUCUGAUUAUGGUUUAUAGAGGUGCCAACUACUCUCCGAGGAACGCUAGUAAAUAUCCUUUUAUCUGCUCUAGUGCAUUUAUCCUUAAGAGUUAUGACUUAUCUUCAUGUGGAACUCAAAGAUGGAUACACUCCUAACAAUAUGGCUUCUGGCUAUGAAACCCAGGUGAUGACAAGACGCACAGACUUAAAUAUUCCACAGCAAUGAUCAGUAUAGUCAUCAGUGUGAUGCGGUUCUCAGUUAAGGAGAGAUUCUGCACUGUCCCACAACCCAUUUUUCUUUUCUUUUCUUUUCUUUUUUUUUUUACAACUGCUGUAAAUUGAUGAUGAAUGUUGUUAGCAGCCAGGUGUGGAGGUUUCGUAGUUGGACCUGGCAAUGCGGAAGUACUGAAAACUUCAACAAUCUUUUUGAACCACUGGGGCUCUCUACAAGAAAUACGAAAAGACAGUUCCCCCACUCAGUGUCUCACAACCCACUCAAUUCCCUCUUACAUCGUGCCGAACCCCUCCAUCCAUUCAUCGAUCCGCCAACCAACCUUCAUUCCUCUGACCUUCAUUCCUUUGACCUUCAUUCAUCCGACCUUCAUUCCUCCGACCUCCAUCCAUCCCUCAUCCCUCAAACCUACCUCCAUCCCUCAUCCCUCGAACCUACCUUCAUCCCUCGAACCUACCUCCAUCCCUCAUCACUUCAUCCCUAAUCCCUUCACCCCUCAUCCCUCAGUAAACCACAUUGCUUCACAUUUGUUCAUUAUGUGCAAUAAACUUUUCUUAUUUCA
This 1231-nucleotide long non-coding RNA is filed under the name Dicentrarchus labrax (European seabass). Its description in RNAcentral is "lncRNA (ENSDLAG00005005158.2)". Lineage: Eukaryota; Metazoa; Chordata; Actinopteri; Moronidae. The record is from RNAcentral.